This is a long non-coding RNA of Mus pahari (shrew mouse), 488 nucleotides long. RefSeq lists it as uncharacterized. The transcript has 3 exons. The record is from RefSeq and is a predicted model, not a curated record. NCBI's taxonomy places the organism in Eukaryota, Metazoa, Chordata, Mammalia, Rodentia, Muridae.
UUCAUUAAAAUUAACGGGACAAAUGGAAAUCCCCAUUUCCAACUCGAUCCUGUGUAACUGUUUUCCUCCUGUGUGGGAGCUAUAUAGUUCCAGUCCUAUUCAUUUGGUCAUUUUGUGCAGCUGACGUUAUACAGAAAUUGGACCUGGAGAGUGUUCAAAUGCUGGAGGAGAGGGGGGGAGAGACCUUGCCCAGCUGAAGCAGUGAAAAGAAAUGGAUUAACAGAUGGAACAACAGUCAACCUUCCAAAUGACCACUCCAUAAUGAAGUGGCCCAACGCUUGGCAACAUUAGAAAGUGGACAAGCAGGCAUUCAACUGGAUGAACCAGGGCUUUCUGGCAUUAAAAGUGUAAUAUUUAUGAGCUAAUUUAAUCACAGAAGAAAAUAUUGAGUAGGUGACUGAGUAAAAUGAUGACUGUGUAUUAUGUUUUCGCCAUGCAGCUGGAUAAACACAUUCAGUGACAGACCUUGGCAAAGACUGCAAAGAUGU